CCUACGGGUGACAGCAGUAGGGAAUUUUCGGCAAUGGGGGGAACCCUGACCGAGCAACGCCGCGUGAAGGAAGAAGGAAUUCGGUCUGUAAACUUCUGUUAUAAAGGAAGAAAGACGGAUGGAGGAAAUGAUAUCAGAGUGACGGUACCUUAUGAGAAAGCCACGGCUAACUACGUGCCAGCAGCCGCGGUAAUACGUAGGUGGCAAGCGUUAUCCGGAAUUAUUGGGCGUAAAGCGGUCGUAGGCGGCAUGUAAGGUCUGUGGUGAAAGACUGAAGCUUAACUUCAGUAAGCCAUAGAAACCAGGCAGCUAGAGUGCAAGAGAGGAUCGUGGAAUUCCAUGUGUAGCGGUGAAAUGCGUAGAUAUAUGGAGGAACACCAGUGGCGAAGGCGACGAUCUGGCCUGCAACUGACGCUCAGUGCCGAAAGCGUGGGGAGCAAAUAGGAUUAGAUACCCCAGUAGUC
Molecule: ribosomal RNA, 464 nt
Filed under: uncultured bacterium
Lineage: Bacteria
Description: partial 16S ribosomal RNA
Rfam family: Bacterial small subunit ribosomal RNA
Source: RNAcentral